This 1250-nucleotide long non-coding RNA is filed under the name Acanthaster planci (crown-of-thorns starfish). RNAcentral describes it as "uncharacterized LOC110976979, transcript variant X1". The record is from RNAcentral. Lineage: Eukaryota; Metazoa; Echinodermata; Asteroidea; Valvatida; Acanthasteridae.
AACAGUCACACGGCAUAAACAACACGUGAGUGUGGUGGCGUAGGUGCACGUGUGUAGUGUACUGAGCGCACGUACAGUGGUAUCCGUUUAUUUUCCCGACUUUGUCAAGACAGGAUAGAGGCUUGAGCUUUGAACAGUGUUUGACUGGACCAACGAGCCACAUCUGUGGACAAUACACACCCAGGAUUUUGGACAGUGAUGCAGCGAGCAUGAGCAGUGAGGCCUAAGGGUUGGCACAGUGAUUGAACGUUAGAAAACACAGGUUGUUUGCAACACCAUUAUCAGCCACGGUGAAUCAGAACUGCCGGUUCCCAUCUCUUUGCAUGGGUGCCUGUACCUUUAUGGGUGAAGCCAGCAUGGCACCAGUCAUUUGCCAAAUUUAGAACCACACAGAGGAAGAGGGUCGGGUGAUGAUAUGCAGAGCCAUUUACUUUGGAGCAUCAGGUUCGAUGAGAAGGGGGACUCCAAGAGCAAAUGCAACGUCCUGACCUUUGCCUCAGAUUCCAUCUUCACACAUGCCAAACACCUUUGUCAGUGGAUGGACUUUGAGAUGCAAGGUGACAUGCUUUGCUAUACAUCCGUACCUGAUUGCAGCAUCAAUGACUGGAAGGUUUAGCGCAUCAUCCUCAAACUACUGCUAACAAAGCUUCAACUUCAACUUAGCCUCAACAAAUUAAUCACCAGCUUGAUAAUGAGAUGGCAAUGAUGCAUUCCUAGGCAACCAGAAACUAGUCAGCUAGAACUACCCAAAGAAAGGCUGUGUAAUAGACCCCUUGCAGCUGGUACUUCUCAGUGAUGGUUCCUUUAACAAUUAAGGCAGGGCAGUGCUGCAGGGCAGUGCAGUACUUCCAAUCCCUCUGAUUGUUUGACAGCUAUUUCCUGAAAUACAAAAACACUGUAAUACAUGUAAUUGAUGACUUUUGAGACACUUGGAAACUGUAAACAGCUGCUAUUUUGGUCCUUUUUUCUUGUUUGCAUCACGUUUGGGCUAAAUGCAUGCAUGCUCCAAAUGAAACAACAAAAACAACAUAAAAAUAAAGAAGGAAAAGGAACCAUUGUGUUUGCCACCUCCAAGCUCCUCAGAAGUCUUCAAGUAGUAAAGUCAGAAAUCUCGGGUUUUCAAAAAUGUGUUCUUUGCAAUUAGGCUAAAGGGUCUUUGCAAUGCAGGUUUUUCAACACAACCCUUGAAAACGUAUCUUUUUGAUUCAGUGAACCUUAUUAUCAAAGCCUUACAUGUAUUUUCAAAUUUG